Molecule: long non-coding RNA, 621 nt
Organism: Nematostella vectensis (starlet sea anemone)
Lineage: Eukaryota; Metazoa; Cnidaria; Anthozoa; Actiniaria; Edwardsiidae
Exons: 2
Source: RefSeq, a predicted model, not a curated record
ACCUGAGACCUGCGCCGCUGCUGAAGCCGCGUUAGAACCAUUCCAGGACAUUGAGGAAACCUCUGCACUAGGGCAAAUUUUGCCGUCAUCAGUUGAUGCUGUACGACUCGUGAAAGCAUCAACUAAACUAAGGGACAUAGAACUAAAGGACAUAGAACGAUGCAUUGAAGUAGAAGAUACGGCGUUAGGUGAAGCGAAGAUAUUUUUUUAGAAGAUUGUAAAAUAUAAAUAUCAGCAAUAACCCGCAAUUGUCAGUAAGAGCAGUGGAAUGCUUAUGCGGAUGCAAAAAGCUGAAAGAAAUAGUGAAUAUAAAUGCAGCCCGUCUGGAGCCAGAAGAAUUACAAUUUCUUCGCAGAAAUUUUCCGUGAGUCCUCAUGGCCUACUAUGUAUCGAAGACGGAGACCCCGAUUAUAAGCUGGACACUCUCGACUUCAUCAAUGAGCUUAUGGAAUAAACCUUGCUUGCGGCUUGUUUUAAGAAAAUAUUGUGUGUUCUGUCUGUGUCGAUGAAAUAAUAAUUAGAGGGCUGCUACUAUUGUGAAUUCCAGUAAACUUUAUUGCUGUGGCUUGUAUGCGAUAAUAGUUGUAUUGAGGAUCGAAUAAAGCAAAAUUGGUAACUUUA